Molecule: long non-coding RNA, 680 nt
Filed under: Actinidia chinensis (golden kiwifruit)
Lineage: Eukaryota; Viridiplantae; Streptophyta; Magnoliopsida; Ericales; Actinidiaceae
Description: long non-coding RNA (ACHI_LNC001086)
Source: RNAcentral
ACGGAAGUUGCAACAUACUACUGUUAAGGCAUAAUAAAAUUAAUACAUCCAUUUGGGAAAGAUGGCUCAAUCAAAUUAAAAGGUUUAUUAAGGCUCUGGUUGCAUACGUCGCUUUGAAAUAUAAGAAUUUCAAAUUCUUGUCCAAAAUUCGUCAAGCAUAUUUGGAUGGUGAAUAGACUAAAGGAUUUGAAAUUAAGGAAAUCACUUCUUAAAUUUCAAGAGUAAAAUGAAGGGAUUUCAAAUAACUCCUCCCUCCACCUCCCCACCCAUCUCACUUCGCUUUCAAUACUCUGUCUUCUCUCUCAUCCCUCAUCUCUAUCUCCUCUCUCUCCAAAAUAGGUUUUAAUUGAAAUCGUUUCAAAAAAAAAUGUAUCCAAAUGGUGGAUGUGAUCCAUAGAGAUUUGAAAUACUUAGGCUGUAUUUCGAUUAAGUAUUUGGUGAGAGAAAAUAAAUAAAAUUAAAAAUGAUUGAAGAUCGAAUGGUUCCGAACGAUUGAAUGUUCAAUGGUUGCAACACUUCAACCGUUCAUGACCAUAGGAUCAUCUAAUUUUUUUAUUUUCGUUUUUAUUUUAUUUUCCCUCACCAAUUCCUUGAUCUAAAUACAACCUUAGAUUUCAAAUCCAUUUAUUUGAAAUCCACGUAUCCAAUAGAGCCUAAAUGUUUAUGAUUAAUUUUUACAC